RNAcentral lists this unclassified non-coding RNA (316 nucleotides) under Hevea brasiliensis (rubber tree). The record is from RNAcentral. Lineage: Eukaryota; Viridiplantae; Streptophyta; Magnoliopsida; Malpighiales; Euphorbiaceae.
UGGAAAACGAGUGUAACUUUCCAUUAAUUUCUUAACUGGAGGGGCAAUGAAGUAAAUAAAUCGAAGAUCAGAAAUGUGUAAAACGACAGAAGCAAGGACAAUGAAACGCUCACAUGGCAAGCUUUGAACCACCUACCCAACCAUUUGAGGACUAAAUAGCUAAGCGUGGCUCACCUUCACCCUCUAUAUACCAAAAACAUACCAGAACCACAUAUUCACCAAACUCACACCACACACGCGGUGACUCCUUGUUCCUCUUGGCCAUUCUUGUCUCUCGCCAUGGCUGGGACUAGAGUUUUUGCAGAGAUUUUGGAUG